This 577-nucleotide long non-coding RNA is filed under the name Arabidopsis lyrata. RNAcentral's name for it is "long non-coding RNA (ALYR_LNC001393)". Lineage: Eukaryota; Viridiplantae; Streptophyta; Magnoliopsida; Brassicales; Brassicaceae. The record is from RNAcentral.
UUCGAAAUUAAGUUCGCCUACUAGGUGUUAAGUGAUACUUGAAUAACCUAUAUUUCGUAGGUCUUGUUUGUGCAUGUACGCGAAAAUCGAAAGGUUAUAACUGUCAGAUCAAUAGAUUGACGUUUAACUUCCUUUUUCAAUAAAUACUCAAGUGAGUGCUCUUAUAUAUUUUUUCUAUAUAAGGAGAGUAAGAUUUUGGAACUUUUCCAAUAAAUCUUUUCUUCGUAAGGAACUUUGCAGUUCUUCUUUUCUAGAUUUCUUAUUUACGAUGGACUCUCCCCAAGGCGAACCUUCUGAUCCUAAUCCACCACGAUUCCCUUCGAGUGAAUCCCUGUUUCCGACGGGAGAUGGAUUUACUCCACACGGGGUGGCCAUUCCUUGUUUUCUUUCUUCCAUGUCUAAGGAAGAAAAGAUAGAGUGCCAUGAAUUCAUGGAACAGGUUUGACCUCGAUACCAGUUGUUUCAAAGUUUUACCCGAUAAAUUCGUAAUGCAUCUGUUCUUUGCAGGUCACCGAAAGGUACGUUUUCCUCUGCUCCGAAAGGUACGUUUUCCUCUGCUCCGAAAGGCAACGCCUUG